Molecule: long non-coding RNA, 487 nt
Organism: Nilaparvata lugens (brown planthopper)
Lineage: Eukaryota; Metazoa; Arthropoda; Insecta; Hemiptera; Delphacidae
Exons: 3
Source: RefSeq, a predicted model, not a curated record
UACUCUACAGUACAGUACAACUUAGAAUUUUCAUGCUUGUUCACUUCUGGUAAAAUUAUAUUGGCUUUUUGAAAGUUGGUGUUAUUCCAAGUUGGCCAACUAGCGUUUUUGAUUUUGAUCCUCAAUGAACUUUUUCCAUCCAACUUAUUCUCUUUGCUGUCAAAUGCAGGCUCAUUGAAUUAUUGGCUUUUGGAUUCGGCUGGAGUUUUUCACCACUGCUCUUCAAAUAUACGCUCAGGGAGAGCCCUUGAAGAUACGUGCUGCAUGCAGUAGAGCGAACAGUUGAGGGGUUGAAUUUAUUGCUUUUCGAGAGCUGCAUGAUUCAGUAGCCUUGUCAUUCGCACUACUGCUAAAAACUCGAUGCCAUGUGGAUCGCGAGUUCUGAGUUGUCGAAGUACUGCAUAAGAACGUGGUAUCAGGAAUCAAGAAUACGGAAUUCAAUGAUGAUGAAAUCGUGUAUUAGGAGUCCAAAGCUGCAUGGGAGUAU